AGGCGGACCUUAGUGGGGGCGAAAUGGGCCGUCGCCCCCCCAGCAAAAACAAGAUUUUACUAGUACCCAGUAGUAUUUUCGGCCCAUAAGAGGGAUAAGGCCUUAUCUCUUUUCCCCUUCCUAGUCUGCAUCGUUGGUUCGAAAAAAAAGGCUCGUCUGCAUCGACGUGAGGACGUCAGCAACCGCGCUCCGUCGCUCCUGAUGCCGGUCGACCGCAUCCCGUUCCUCUGCCUCCAGCGCUGCUUCUCCGUUGGAGCUCCACCAUCUCCUCUCAAUCUGCUGCUCGCCCAAUCCCACCUCCAGGGUGCCCGCUCGCUCGAAGUGCCUCCCGGCGACCUCGGCUGAAUGUUGCAGCUGCGAGCUACUGCCUACCGGCCGGCCGGCCAGCGAGCCAGCGAGGAGAACCCUCUCCGUUCUACGAGUUUCCCACCAGCUGCUAGCUGCUGGUAGGAAGUACUGAUGGGCAGGCCGCAUGGGCAAAACCAUUAAUUCAUUUUACAAAAAAGUGAGAGAUGAAUUUGAAGUUAAUGAAGUAAUUCCUAAACGUGAAGAACCAGUGUUUGUUCAUGUCCAUCCCCAUCUCUUGUUGCUCAAAUAUGAACAACAAAAUUAGAAAGAGAAGGUUACAUCGUACCCACUGAUCAAAGAGAUGAUGUAGUGUAAUAAUUAAUUAUAAUACUACAUGGUUCUAUGACAACCUGUAGCACAUCACAUAGUUCUUUUGUUCUGGAGUAGUUUAGGCAUAUAUUGCUGCUAGAAGUUUAUUUUGUGGAAAAAUCAAUCCAAUUAUAUCAGUUUCUAAAAAUACUAUAAA
This is a long non-coding RNA of Lolium perenne, 814 nucleotides long. RefSeq lists it as uncharacterized. The record is from RefSeq and is a predicted model, not a curated record. Lineage: Eukaryota; Viridiplantae; Streptophyta; Magnoliopsida; Poales; Poaceae.